This 452-nucleotide ribosomal RNA is filed under the name uncultured bacterium. RNAcentral describes it as "bacterial SSU rRNA". It matches the Rfam family "Bacterial small subunit ribosomal RNA", at positions 355 to 824 of the family's 1533-position model. The record is from RNAcentral.
UGGGGAAUCUUGCACAAUGGGCGAAAGCCUGAUGCAGCAACGCCGCGUGCGGGAAGACAGCCCUAGGGUUGUAAACCGCUUUCAGCAGGGAAGAAACUGACGGUACCUGCAGAAGAAGAUGCGGCCAACUACGUGCCAGCAGCCGCGGUGACACGUAGGCAUCAAGCGUUAUCCGGAUUUAUUGGGCGUAAAGAGCUCGUAGGCGGUUCGGUAAGUCGGGUGUGAAACUCUGGGCUCAACCCAGAGAGGCCACUCGAUACUGCUGUGACUAGAGUGCGGUAGGGGAGCGGGGAAUUCCUGGUGUAGCGGUGAAAUGCGCAGAUAUCAGGAGGAACACCAGUGGCGAAGGCGCCGCUCUGGGCCGUAACUGACGCUGAGGAGCGAAAGCAUGGGUAGCAAACAGGAUUAGAUACCCUGGUAGUCCACACCGUAAACGAUGAAUGUUAGCCGUC